Scylla paramamosain (green mud crab) is the source of this 813-nucleotide long non-coding RNA. RefSeq lists it as uncharacterized. The record is from RefSeq and is a predicted model, not a curated record. NCBI's taxonomy places the organism in Eukaryota, Metazoa, Arthropoda, Malacostraca, Decapoda, Portunidae. The transcript is spliced from 4 exons.
GAGAGCAAAGUACCUCAUAAUCAGUGAAUAAAAAAAAUACAGAAAAAUUGGUGAGAGAAAGAGAGAGAGAGAAAAAAAAAAAAAGAGAGAGAGAGAGAGGAGAGAUUAAAGAUAGCUCACUCUCUCAACGUGGCCAUGGAGGGGAUAUACGGAAACCACCUCCCUGACAUUGGCUACCUGUGUGAAGAGUACCUGGGAAGCCUCGACCAACAACAACAACAACAACAACAACAACAACAACAACAACAACAACAAUAUUCUCCAUUAUACUCACAAUAUCGGUCUCAGGAGGUCAGUGACAGCCAGCCAGGGUACCAGCCUCUCCUGCCCCCCUCCCUUGAACUAUCGUGGCGGGAGAAUAGUCAACAUGUAGUGGCUGAUAGUCCCCUGUUCGAACCCAUAACUACUACAGACUGGACAUCACACUCCCUCUCUCCAUUGGGAUAUUUGGACGUGGCAGCAGGAGGAGAGGAAGAGGAGAAGAAGGAAUAGGAGGAGAAAUACCCUUUUACCUCCAAGACUAUCCUCUCUCCUUCUCUCCCUUAAAGCAAGAGAGGAGGGAAGAGGAGGAGGAGGAAGAGGAAGACGAAGAGGUGAUAAGGAGUUUACAAGAAAUGGAUCUACAUGAAGAAUAUUUGUUGCUUAUAGAUGACGCGAUAACAAAGGAGGGGAAGGAAGAGGGACGAAGGGAAGAAGACAGGACGAAGACAGAAGAAGAAGAAGUGGAAGAAGAAGAAGAAGAAGAAGAAGUGGAAGAAGAAUUAAAAAGUCUCUCUUCUUCUCUGUUAGGGAAGAUACAGUCAAAAACAAGGA